GGGCAGCAGUGGGGAAUAUUGCACAAUGGGCGGAAGCCUGAUGCAGCAACGCCGCGUGCGGGAUGACAGCCUUCGGGUUGUAAACCGCUUUCGCCUGUGACGAAGCGUGAGUGACGGUAAUGGGUAAAGAAGCACCGGCUAACUACGUGCCAGCAGCCGCGGUGAUACGUAGGGUGCGAGCGUUGUCCGGAUUUAUUGGGCGUAAAGGGCUCGUAGGUGGUUGAUCGCGUCGGAAGUGUAAUCUUGGGGCUUAACCCUGAGCGUGCUUUCGAUACGGGUUGACUUGAGGAAGGUAGGGGAGAAUGGAAUUCCUGGUGGAGCGGUGGAAUGCGCAGAUAUCAGGAGGAACACCAGUGGCGAAGGCGGUUCUCUGGGCCUUUCCUGACGCUGAGGAGCGAAAGCGUGGGGAGCGAACAGGCUUAGAUACCCUGGUAGUCCACGCUGUAAACGGUGGGUACUAGGUGUGGGGUCCAUUCCACGGGUUCCGUGCCGUAGCUAACGCUUUAAGUACCCCGCCUGGGGAGUACGGCCGCAAGGCUAAAACUCAAAGGAAUUGACGGAA
This 562-nucleotide ribosomal RNA is filed under the name uncultured Actinomycetes bacterium. RNAcentral describes it as "bacterial SSU rRNA". It matches the Rfam family "Bacterial small subunit ribosomal RNA", at positions 346 to 918 of the family's 1533-position model. Lineage: Bacteria; Bacillati; Actinomycetota; Actinomycetes. The record is from RNAcentral.